Molecule: transfer RNA, 51 nt
Filed under: Parafilaroides normani
Lineage: Eukaryota; Metazoa; Nematoda; Chromadorea; Rhabditida; Filaroididae
Description: tRNA-Ser
Source: RNAcentral
AUGAGUUUUGUUGAGUCUUCUAAACUUGAAUUAGGUUGUCCUGCUCAUUUU